CCUACGGGUGGCAGCAGUGAGGAAUAUUGGUCAAUGGACGAGAGUCUGAACCAGCCAAGUAGCGUGAAGGAUGACUGCCCUAUGGGUUGUAAACUUCUUUUAUAUGGGAAUAAAACGUUCCACGUGUGGGAUUUUGUAUGUACCAUAUGAAUAAGGCUCGGCUAACCCCGUGCCAACCGCCGCGGUAAUACGGAGGAUCCGAGCGUUAUCCGGAUUUUUUGGGUUUAAAGGGAGCGGAGGUGGAUGGUUAAGUCAGUUGUGAAAGUUUGGGGCUCAACCGUAAAAUUGCAGUUGAAACUGGCAGUCUUGAGUACAGUAGAGGUGGGCGGAAUUCGUGGUGUAGCGGUGAAAUGCUUAGAUAUCACGAAGAACUCCGAUUGCGAAGGCAGUUCACUGGACUGCAACUGACACUGAGGCUCGAAAGUGUGGGUAUCGAACAGGAUUAGAUACCCCUGUAGUC
RNAcentral lists this ribosomal RNA (460 nucleotides) under uncultured bacterium. RNAcentral describes it as "partial 16S ribosomal RNA". It matches the Rfam family "Bacterial small subunit ribosomal RNA", at positions 338 to 795 of the family's 1533-position model. The record is from RNAcentral.